AUAUAUUACUACCAGUCCAAUUUGAGCUUAAAAUUAGUAAAAUAGUAUUUGGACUAAAGCUUUAUAUGUUUUUUAUUGCUUGGAAUAGAUCAUAGAAUGAAAUAAAGUAAUGCUCAAGUCAAUAUAACAAGUUUGGUUCUGUUAUAGGUGUAACACCACUAAUUCGGGCCCGGCCAGAAAGCACAUACCAGAAAGUAGUACAUAUUUAACACAAAAUAGUUCCUACGCAUGAGUGUAACUUUCAAAAUAUAUAGAAUAUUUAGGUAUUUUUGGCAUCAAAUGAAAGCUGAAGGACUGGUGAUCAUUGUAGAACACUUUUGGACUUAAAGUUUUGAAAAUUAAAAAAACUGCACCAAAUUUUAAAAAGAGGGUACAUUUAGUCUGUUUGUCAGAUCUGAAGUACCUGUUUUGGUACAUCCGAAGGUCCGGGAACCAGUUCUUUCUUAUAUGCAAUUAUAGGUAUGUUAAUUUUUUCAGUACAAAACACCAUAAAGUGUUGCUUUGACAUGCAAUGAUUGCCACUUUAUUUGAACUUAAAAUGAAAGAGGUGUGCCUGCUUGAAAUGGAGGAAUUUAACAUAGAAAGCAAAAGGA
RNAcentral lists this long non-coding RNA (593 nucleotides) under Mytilus galloprovincialis (Mediterranean mussel). The record is from RNAcentral. Lineage: Eukaryota; Metazoa; Mollusca; Bivalvia; Mytilida; Mytilidae.